Long non-coding RNA from Amphimedon queenslandica, 1068 nucleotides. RefSeq lists it as uncharacterized. The record is from RefSeq and is a predicted model, not a curated record. The transcript is spliced from 2 exons. Lineage: Eukaryota; Metazoa; Porifera; Demospongiae; Haplosclerida; Niphatidae.
GUAGUCUAUUGUUCAUAAUAGCUGUGAAUACACUUAUCAGCUCCUCAGAUGCAGACUACCUCUUAACCCGGCGGGAAUUUCUACAACUAUAAUUUUCUUGCUGCUCUUUUUCUUCCCCUUCUUCAAAAUAAGUCUUUCGUUGGUUGCGUAGUUGAGACAUGAUACUUAUGCUGUUAUUUAUAAUGUGGCUUAGAGAAGCAAGAGAUAACUUGAUAGCGGCAGCUCUUCCUCGUCGACCACUGCAAGAGUCAGCUAGUGGAGCAGGUCGAGCUGCAGCAUUCAUUGCUGGUGAUAAAAUCUGGUAUAACGAAAAUAAUCAUUGCUUUUUGGUUGAGCCUCAGCAAGAAGUGGGAACAAGUUACUUUUACAAAAAAGAAGAUAUGGUUGUGGCGAGUUAUUGCAAAGUACCCAAAAACUGUGUUGUGUGACUCAGUGACACUUAUACCAUGUACUUACACUUAUUUGUAUGAAUACCAUAUUGUAUAAGUUUUUCUCUGCAUCGGUGUAUUGUUGAUUGUAUGCCGGAUUUGUUUGUCAUUUUGUUUACUGGUCAACAAUGUAUCAUCUCAGCCUGAAGGCAUAGAUAUUGGUCUGAACUGCAGCAUGCAUACAGUUCAGGCUUGGACUUGGGCCAAGACCAUAGAUAUAUGACUGUCGUAUAUCUAGUAUGCCAAGACCAAGAUGUCUUGUGUGAUGUUAGCACUAAGACUAAGUUUUUACCUUAUAGUCUACAUAUGCUAUGUACUUAUUAUCUCUGCAGUAAUACCACCCGUUAUUACCCAUGCAAGAGCAAACAUAUGUAUCUAAAAUUCACAGUAUCCUUGCUAUUACCAUUAGAUCUAUAAGUCUUGCCCACAUCAUUUAUAGUUCUAUUGUGUUACAUUGUACAACCUGCUGCAUGCAUAAAUUUUUAAAAAUAAUAGCAAAAUAAUAAAAUCUGUCUAUCAUAAAAAUCUAACAAUUAAUGCUAUUACAUGUAGUACACAAAAUGAUACAAAGGUUGCUUGAUCCAUUAUUUGUCAAAUUUAGCUGACAGACUAGACUCAAGGACAUCUGUAUCUUUUAUCA